Molecule: ribosomal RNA, 387 nt
Filed under: uncultured bacterium
Lineage: Bacteria
Description: bacterial SSU rRNA
Rfam family: Bacterial small subunit ribosomal RNA
Source: RNAcentral
GACGAACGCUGGCAGCGUGCUUAAUACAUGCAAGUCAACUUGACUUUAGAUAGCAAUAUCGAAAAGUAGGUGCGCACGGGUGCGUAACGCGUAGGUAAUCUGCCCUGAGGUCUGACAUAACCCGUCGAAAGGCGGGCUAACAUCAGAUGAUAUAUAGUCACGACAUCGUGGAAAUAUCAAAUCUUCGGAGCCUUGGGAUGAGCCUGCGUCUGAUUAGGUAGUUGGCGGAGUAAUAGCCCACCAAGCCUACGAUCAGUAGCUGGUCUGAGAGGAUGAUCAGCCACACUGGAACUGAGACACGGUCCAGACUCCUACGGGAGCAGCAGUAAGGAUAUUGCUCAAUGGGGGAAACCCUGAAGCAGCAACGCCGCGUGAAGGAUGAAAUAC